UACAAUCUUCCUCUUUUUCCCAUUCACAAGCUGAGUAUGAUCUUCUGUUAUGUCAUUGGAUGACUCCACAAUUGGUACUGCAUUUAGUGAAGCUGUUCUCAUGCAUUUGAUCACAUCGAUAACUUUCGCCUUAUUAGUCACACCGAAAACAGUGUCUGUGAUUGCUUGGAGUUGUUUAUCCGAGACCUUGUGCGACAUGAUCGCUUUAAGCUCCUGCUGGUCAUUCAAAAACCUAAGCAGAUCCAUUUGUGUUAGCAUUCGGUAACAUGACG
RNAcentral lists this unclassified non-coding RNA (272 nucleotides) under Hevea brasiliensis (rubber tree). The record is from RNAcentral. Lineage: Eukaryota; Viridiplantae; Streptophyta; Magnoliopsida; Malpighiales; Euphorbiaceae.